CAGGCAGACAGACAGGGAGUCAGGCAUGUCCACCCAGACGCCCCCCUCCCAUUGGCUGCGGGAUGUUGACACCUGUCCGGAGCGCAGGGUUACCGUGGACAUCUUGGGUGCUUCCCUGAUUAAUGCUGUCCUUGCCCGGCCUGACAGUGUAGAUGGCCACCCAUGUGUUGAAAAACUAGUGGAGAAGUUCUGAAAUGCAAGCCUGCAUGUGACGACCAGACCUGAUGGUGAGGUGAGUCCAUCAACCCAAAGGAUUGAUAAAGAUGAAUGCCUCCAAAAAUAAAUGUCACGGUUUAUUUUGUCUGUUUGUGUAUUAAAUGUAAAGUGCUGAAUAAAGAAGUU
Molecule: long non-coding RNA, 342 nt
Organism: Xiphophorus maculatus (southern platyfish)
Lineage: Eukaryota; Metazoa; Chordata; Actinopteri; Cyprinodontiformes; Poeciliidae
Exons: 3
Source: RefSeq, a predicted model, not a curated record